GACCGCUCUUUGUAAAAAGAGCUAUGGCCAUACGGACAGCCUGGUCGAAAGCCGA
This 55-nucleotide small RNA is filed under the name chicken gut metagenome. Its description in RNAcentral is "Streptococcus sRNA SpF59 (ldcC RNA)". It matches the Rfam family "Streptococcus sRNA SpF59 (ldcC RNA)". The record is from RNAcentral.